RNAcentral lists this unclassified non-coding RNA (195 nucleotides) under uncultured Amphinema. RNAcentral describes it as "sequence contains ITS2". The record is from RNAcentral. Lineage: Eukaryota; Fungi; Basidiomycota; Agaricomycetes; Atheliales; Atheliaceae.
AAUCCUCAACCCCCUCCGAUUUGUUUCGGUGGGGGAUUGGACUUGGAGCGUGCUGGCGAAGGUCGGCUCCUCUUUAAAUGCAUCAGCGGAGAAAAUGCCUUUUGCGCCUCUGGCCGUUCAGCGUGAUAAUGACGUUGCGCUGCGGUCGAGCUCAAGGUCCGCUUCCAAAGGUCCUCGGACGAACGUAAACAUGAC